This 252-nucleotide ribosomal RNA is filed under the name uncultured bacterium. RNAcentral describes it as "partial 16S ribosomal RNA". It matches the Rfam family "Bacterial small subunit ribosomal RNA", at positions 524 to 776 of the family's 1533-position model. The record is from RNAcentral.
UACGUAGGUGGCGAGCGUUAUCCGGAAUUACUGGGUGUAAAGGGUACGUAGGCGGAUAAGCAAGUUAGAAGUGAAAUCCUAUAGCUCAACUAUAGUAAGCUUUUAAAACUGCUCAUCUUGAGGUAUGGAAGGGAAAGUGGAAUUCCUAGUGUAGCGGUGAAAUGCGCAGAUAUUAGGAGGAAUACCGGUGGCGAAGGCGACUUUCUGGCCAUAAACUGACGCUGAGGUACGAAAGCGUGGGUAGCGAACAGG